This 536-nucleotide ribosomal RNA is filed under the name uncultured Methanosaeta sp. RNAcentral describes it as "bacterial SSU rRNA". It matches the Rfam family "Archaeal small subunit ribosomal RNA", at positions 343 to 879 of the family's 1478-position model. Lineage: Archaea; Methanobacteriati; Methanobacteriota; Methanomicrobia; Methanotrichales; Methanotrichaceae. The record is from RNAcentral.
GAAAACUUUACAAUGCUGGAAACAGCGAUAAGGGGACCUCGAGUGCCAGGUUACAAAUCUGGCUGUCGUGAUGCCUAAAAAGCAUUGCAUAGCAAGGGCCGGGCAAGACCGGUGCCAGCCGCCGCGGUAACACCGGCGGCUCGAGUGGUAACCGUUAUUAUUGGGUCUAAAGGGUCUGUAGCCGGCCGGAUAAGUCUCUUGGGAAAUCCAGCAGCUCAACUGUUGGGCUUUCAGGAGAUACUGUCUGGCUCGAGGCCGGGAGAGGUGAGAGGUACUUCAGGGGUAGGGGUGAAAUCUUGUAAUCCUUGAAGGACCACCAGUGGCGAAGGCGUCUCACCAGAACGGACCUGACGGCAAGGGACGAAGGCUAGGGGCACGAACCGGAUUAGAUACCCGGGUAGUCCUAGCCGUAAACGAUACUCGCUAGGUGUCGGCCACGGUGCGACCGUUGUCGGUGCCGUAGGGAAGCCGUGAAGCGAGCCACCUGGGAAGUACGGCCGCAAGGCUGAAACUUAAAGGAAUUGGCGGGGGAGCAC